UACGUAGGGUGCGAGCGUUAAUCGGAAUUACUGGGCGUAAAGCGUGCGCAGGCGGUUUUGUAAGCCAGAUGUGAAAUCCCCGGGCUUAACCUGGGAAUGGCAUUUGGGACUGCAAGGCUCGAGUGCGGCAGAGGAGACUGGAAUUCCUGUUGUAGCAGUGAAAUGCGUAGAUAUCAGGAGGAACACCGAUGGCGAAGGCAGGUCUCUGGGCUGACACUGACGCUCAUGCACGAAAGCGUGGGGAGCAAACAGG
This 253-nucleotide ribosomal RNA is filed under the name uncultured bacterium. RNAcentral describes it as "partial 16S ribosomal RNA". It matches the Rfam family "Bacterial small subunit ribosomal RNA", at positions 524 to 776 of the family's 1533-position model. The record is from RNAcentral.